RNAcentral lists this ribosomal RNA (770 nucleotides) under uncultured Neocallimastigales. RNAcentral's name for it is "partial large subunit ribosomal RNA". The stretch from base 3 to 660 matches the Rfam family "Eukaryotic large subunit ribosomal RNA", at positions 24 to 664 of the family's 3401-position model. Lineage: Eukaryota; Fungi; Neocallimastigomycota; Neocallimastigomycetes; Neocallimastigales. The record is from RNAcentral.
UACACGCUGUGACUAGCAUAUCAAUAAGCGGAGGAAAAGAAACUAACAAGGAUUCCCUUAGUAACGGCGAGUGAAGCGGGAAGAGCUCAAAUUUGAAAUCUUGAAAGGUCACCUUUCACGAAUUGUAGUUUAAAGAAGUGUUUUCUGUUACGAUCGUAAUAUAAGUUCUUUGGAAUAGGACAUCACAGAGGGUGAGAAUCCCGUCUAUGAUUGCGAUUUGUAGCUUUGUGAUACACUUUCAAAGAGUCGGGUUGUUUGGGAAUGCAGCCCAAAACGGGAGGUAAAUUUCUUCUAAGGCUAAAUAUUGGCGAGAGACCGAUAGCGAACAAGUACCGUGAGGGAAAGAUGAAAAGAACUUUGAAAAGAGAGUUAAAUAGUACGUGAAAUUGUCAAAAGGGAAGCGUUUAACACCAGUGUUGUUUUCCGAAAAUCAACCUCUGUUAGCUUUAUGCAUGUUUGUUUAGACCUAAUCAGCUAUCUUUCAUGUUCUAUUGUUUGCAGUGGUGCACUUUUCAGUUUACAGGUCAACAUCAGUUUUUUUUACCGUAAAAAAGUUAAAGAAAGGUAGCUCAUGGCUCCGGUCGUGAGUGUUAUAGUCUUUUUCCUAUGCGGUAGGAGAGACUGAGGUCUGCAGUGUAGGCUAUUUGGCUAGAUACUCAGGUGCUAUGUGAUACCAUUUCAUAAACAACUUGUUGAUUAUGUUUUGUCUAUUGCAUACUCGCUUGUACUAUCAUACCUACGCUUAGGAUGUUGAGUAGCGACAUACGCAC